UAGCCUAGUCGUUAAGGCUAUGGAUCGCCAAUCCGGAGACGGCGGGUUCGAUUCCCGU
Non-coding RNA from Aedes albopictus (Asian tiger mosquito), 58 nucleotides. Lineage: Eukaryota; Metazoa; Arthropoda; Insecta; Diptera; Culicidae. The record is from Rfam.